RNAcentral lists this ribosomal RNA (106 nucleotides) under Cavia porcellus (domestic guinea pig). Lineage: Eukaryota; Metazoa; Chordata; Mammalia; Rodentia; Caviidae. The record is from RNAcentral.
GUCUACGGCCAUACCACCCUGAACGCGCCUGAUCUCGUCUGAUCUCGGAAGCUAAGCAGGGUCGGGCCUGGUUAGUACUUGGAUGGGAGACUUUGUGUUUUCAGUG